Molecule: long non-coding RNA, 322 nt
Organism: Hipposideros armiger (great roundleaf bat)
Lineage: Eukaryota; Metazoa; Chordata; Mammalia; Chiroptera; Hipposideridae
Exons: 3
Source: RefSeq, a predicted model, not a curated record
GUUCUCUGGAGAACAGGAUGACUAAGCUGUUAGCAGCCAACGUUGACAGCAGCUGGGGAAAGGCCCCUGAGACUGAUGAGAAAACUGAACCUAUAAGAGGAAAUAUGUAACAAGAGGAAUUUUGACCUGGAGUUCCAAGCCUGCUACUUCUUAUUCUGUAUCACCAUGCUUUUUUCAACAACUCGUAAAGAGUGCUCGAAAUAUUUCAGUUUAAUUUUAAAGGCAUAACUAGUUACAAAGGAACUUAAAAGUGGCUGUCCGAGUGGCACAUUGGUUAAGAGCUGGCUUGGGACGCCAGCUCUGAGCAGCAGGGCCCCGGUUC